This 301-nucleotide ribosomal RNA is filed under the name uncultured bacterium. Its description in RNAcentral is "partial 16S ribosomal RNA". It matches the Rfam family "Bacterial small subunit ribosomal RNA", at positions 509 to 809 of the family's 1533-position model. The record is from RNAcentral.
CAGUCGCCGCGGUAAUACGAGGGGGGCAAGCGUUGUUCGGAUUUAUUGGGCGUAAAGGGUGCGUAGGCGGUUUGGCAAGUCUUGUGUGAAAUCUUCGGGCUCAACCCGAAGCCUGCACGAGAAACUACCGGGCUUGAGUAUUGGAGAGGUGAGUGGAAUUUCCGGUGUAGCGGUGAAAUGCGUAGAUAUCGGAAGGAACACCUGUGGCGAAAGCGGCUCACUGGACAAUAACUGACGCUGAUGCACGAAAGCUAGGGGAGCAAACAGGAUUAGAUACCCGCGUAGUCCCUGUCUCUUAUAA